RNAcentral lists this RNase P RNA (390 nucleotides) under bacterium. RNAcentral describes it as "RNase P RNA component class A". It matches the Rfam family "Bacterial RNase P class A". Rfam says of the family: Ribonuclease P (RNase P) is a ubiquitous endoribonuclease, found in archaea, bacteria and eukarya as well as chloroplasts and mitochondria. The record is from RNAcentral.
GUAGUCGGUCGGGCGACCGCUGUGGCUACGCCGCUUUUGUUGGCGUGGUGGUAGAGGAAAGUCCGAACUCCAGAGAGCGAUGCGCCGGGUAACUCCCGGUCAGGGUGACCUGAAGGAAAGUGGCACAGAAAAUAUACCGCUCGUGAACACGGGUAAGGGUGAAAAGGUGCGGUAAGAGCGCACCGCAUGGAUCGUAAGGUCGAUGGCAGGCUAAACCCCGCAUGGAGCAAGACCAAAUAGGGAAGCGUUAUUCGAGUUGCUCGCUCGAGGCUUCCGGGUAGGUCGCAUGACUUUGCCAGCGAUGGUAGAGCUAGAGGAAUGGUCGCCGCCGUGUGGCAUAAGCAAUUGUGCUGGACGGUACAGAAUUCGGCUUACAGUCCGACUGCGACG